CAGCCGCCACGGGAAUACGAAGGGUGCAAGCGUUAAUCGGAAUUACUGGGCGUAAAGCGUGCGUAGGUGGUGGUUUAAGUCCGUUGUGAAAGCCCUGGGCUCAACCUGGGAAUUGCAGUGGAUACUGGGUCACUAGAGUGUGGUAGAGGAUAGUGGAAUUUCCGGUGUAGCAGUGAAAUGCGUAGAGAUCGGAAGGAACAUCUGUGGCGAAGGCGACUAUCUGGGCCAACACUGACACUGAGGCACGAAAGCGUGGGGAGCAAACAGGAUUAGAUACCCCAGUAGUCCCUGUCUCUUAUAC
RNAcentral lists this ribosomal RNA (301 nucleotides) under uncultured bacterium. Its description in RNAcentral is "partial 16S ribosomal RNA". It matches the Rfam family "Bacterial small subunit ribosomal RNA", at positions 509 to 807 of the family's 1533-position model. The record is from RNAcentral.